GACGAACGCUGGCGGCGUGCUUAACACAUGCAAGUCGAACGCUGAAGCUCAGCUUUUGUUGGGUGGAUGAGUGGCGAACGGGUGAGUAACACGUGAGUAACCUGCCUCCUUCUUUGGGAUAACGCCCGGAAACGGGUGCUAAUACUGGAUAUUCACUGGUCUUCGCAUGGGGGUUGGUGGAAAGGGCUUUUCUGGUGGGGGAUGGGCUCGCGGCCUAUCUGCUUGUUGGUGGGGUGAUGGCCUACCAAGGCUUUGACGGGUAGCCGGCCUGAGAGGGUGACCGGUCACAUUGGGACUGAGAUACGGCCCAGACUCCUACGCGGGGCAGCAGUGGGGAAUAUUGCACAAUGGGCGCAAGCCUGAUGCAGCGACGCCGCGUGAGGGAUGGAGGCCUUCGGGUUGUGAACCUCUUUCGCUCAUGGUCAAGCCGCAACAAUGGUUGUGGUGAGGGUAGUGGGUAAAGAAGCGCCGGCUAACUACGUG
RNAcentral lists this ribosomal RNA (483 nucleotides) under uncultured bacterium. RNAcentral's name for it is "partial 16S ribosomal RNA". It matches the Rfam family "Bacterial small subunit ribosomal RNA", at positions 28 to 507 of the family's 1533-position model. The record is from RNAcentral.